AGAACGAACGCUGGCGGCAUGCCUAAUACAUGCAAGUCGAACGAAGGCUUCGGCCUUAGUGGCGCACGGGUGUGUAACGCGUGGGAAUCUGCCCCUUGGUUCGGAAUAACAGUUGGAAACGACUGCUAAUACCGGAUGAUGACGAAAGUCCAAAGAUUUAUCGCCAAGGGAUGAGCCCGCGUAGGAUUAGCUAGUUGGUGAGGUAAAGGCUCACCAAGGCGACGAUCCUUAGCUGGUCUGAGAGGAUGAUCAGCCACACGUGGGACUGAGACACGGCCCAGACUCC
Molecule: ribosomal RNA, 286 nt
Filed under: uncultured soil bacterium
Lineage: Bacteria
Description: partial 16S ribosomal RNA
Rfam family: Bacterial small subunit ribosomal RNA
Source: RNAcentral